This 438-nucleotide ribosomal RNA is filed under the name uncultured bacterium. RNAcentral describes it as "bacterial SSU rRNA". It matches the Rfam family "Bacterial small subunit ribosomal RNA", at positions 958 to 1397 of the family's 1533-position model. The record is from RNAcentral.
AACGCGAAGAACCUUACCUGGGCUUGAACUGUAGGAGAAGGUAGCAGAAACGUUACCGUCGUAAGACUGCUACAGAGGUGCUGCAUGGCUGUCGUCAGCUCGUGCCGUGAGGUGUUUGGUUAAGUCCAGCAACGAGCGCAACCCUUAUCAUUAGUUGCCAGCGGGUAAUGCCGGGAACUCUAAUGAGACUGCCUAUGUCAAAUAGGAGGAAGGUGAGGAUGACGUCAAGUCCGCAUGGCCUUUAUGUCCAGGGCUACACACGUGCUACAAUGGCCAGUACAGAAGGUUGCCAACCCGCGAGGGGGAGCUAAUCCUAUAAAGCUGGUCUCAGUUCGGAUUGCAGCCUGCAACUCGGCUGCAUGAAGUUGGAAUUGCUAGUAAUGGCGUGUCAGCUACAACGCCGUGAAUACGUUCCCGGGCCUUGUACACACCGGCUAC